RNAcentral lists this ribosomal RNA (404 nucleotides) under uncultured bacterium. RNAcentral describes it as "bacterial SSU rRNA". It matches the Rfam family "Bacterial small subunit ribosomal RNA", at positions 29 to 416 of the family's 1533-position model. The record is from RNAcentral.
AACGAACGCUGGCGGCGUGCCUAACACAUGCAAGUCGUGCGAGAAAGUUCCUUCGGGAGCGAGUAAAGCGGCGCACGGGCGAGUAACACGUAGGUAACCUGCCCCCCAGUCUGGAACAACUAGAGGAAACUCUAGCUAAUGCCGGAUGAGACCACGAUCCCUUCGGGGGUUGCGGCCAAAGAUGGCCUCUACUUGUAAGCUAUCGCUGAGGGAUGGGCCUGCGGGCCAUUAGCUUGUUGGUGAGGUAACGGCUCACCAAGGCUGUGAUGGCUAGCUGGUCUGAGAGGAUGACCAGCCACACUGGGACUGAGACACGGCCCAGACUCCUACGGGAGGCAGCAGUGGGGAAUAUUGCGCAAUGGGCGAAAGCCUGACGCAGCGACGCCGCGUGGGUGAUGAAGGCC